This 2620-nucleotide ribosomal RNA is filed under the name Picochlorum sp. 'soloecismus'. RNAcentral's name for it is "bacterial LSU rRNA". It matches the Rfam family "Bacterial large subunit ribosomal RNA". Lineage: Eukaryota; Viridiplantae; Chlorophyta; Trebouxiophyceae. The record is from RNAcentral.
GAUACGGCAUGUCAUGGAUGCCUCGACACACUAUAUGGGACGUGCUAGACAACGAAAGGCCAUGGUAAGCUGUUAUGAUGCUGUAACCCAUGGAUUUCCCUGGAGAAAACUCCAUAGUAUACACCAUACCCAGCGAACUGAAACAUCUAAGUAGCUGGAGGAAUAUACAUCAACCGAGAUUUCGUUAGUAGCGGUGAGCGAAAACGAAGUAGGCCUGUAAAGUACUAUAUGUUCUAUCUACCUAAAUACCUGGUAUGGUAUGCCAUAGAGGGUACUAGCCCCGUUGGUAUUGAAUAAAACAAUACAUAUGCUUUACACUAUGAGUACCACGGAUACUAACUCUGUGGGAAUAUAGGGGAACCACCCUCUAAGCCUAAAUAUAUAUGUGUGAUCGAUAGUAUAGAGUACCGUGAGGGAAAGGUGAAAAAGUACCCCGAGAGGGGAGUGAAAAGUUCCUGAAAUGGCAUGCCCACAAGCAGUCGAAGCUCCUUUGAGUAACGGCGUACCUUUUGCAUAAUGGGUCAGCGAGUAGAUAUCAUCUGCAUGCCUAAGCCAUUGGGUGGAGGCCUAGUGAAAGCGAGUUUACAUAAAACGUUCCGUAGAUGAUAUCUGACCCGAAACCAAGUGAUCUCGUUAUGUGCCGGUUGAAGACGUAGUACAAUACGUCGAAGGACCUCACUCACGUCUGUGGCAAUAGGCGGAGAUGACAUGUGACGAGGGGUGAAAAGCCAAUCGAACUUGGAUAUAGCUGGUUUUCUGCGAAAUCUAUUUAGGUAGAGCCGAUACAUAUGUACCCUGGGGGGUAGAGCACUCGUUGGUGACAGGUGGCCCAAAGCCUGACUGUCUCCAGAGAAACUCCAAAUACCCAGUGGUAGACCGUAUCGAGACAGACAUGGAGUGCGAAGGUUCCAUGUCGAGAGGGAAACAGCCCAGAUCGAUCGCUAAGGUUCCAAAACCGUAUCUUAGUGGAUAAGGAUGUUCGUGGACAAGGACAACCAGGAGAUAGGCUUGGAAGCAGCCAUUCUAUGAUGAUAGCGUAACAGCUCACUGGUCGAUGUCCAUGGGCGCCGACAAUGUAUCGGAGCUUAAGAUACGUACCGACGCGGCGACUUCGUGAUAUACACGAGGGGUAGCAGAACGUUCUGUGGGUCAAGGACGUAUACACGUAAGUGUGUAUUAAGAUCUCAGAAGUGAGAAUGCUGACAUGAGUAACGACAUAUCAUGUGAAAACCAUGAUCGCCGAAUAUUCAAGGGUUUCUACAGUACGGUAUACGGUGUAGAGUUAUACGGUCCCUAAGAAUCUGGUGAACACCAGGGUUCAAUGGGUGAUAUCACGUGACGGCUUUUCCCCCCUAUACACCAUGUGAAUGGAAUCAUGGGUAUAGGGAAUAAAGUCCAGGAAAUAGCGUGAUCUCGAGAUCAACCGUACCCCAAACCGACACAGGUGAAUUGGUGUACGUGCACUAAGGCGAUGAGUUACGUAUAUUGAAGGAACUCGGCAAAUUACCUCCGUACCCUAGGAAUAUGGAGGGCCAUAUCGGUGGCACAGAAUAGGGGGUAGCGACUGUUUACUAAAAACACAGGACUCUGCUAAGUGGUAACACGACGUAUAGGGUCUGACACCUGCCCGGUGCUGGAUACCGAACAGGACAGGUUCACGCUUGAAAUCGAAGGUCCAGUAAACGGCGGCCGUAACUCUGACGGUCCUAAGGUAGCGAAAUUCCUUGUCGGGUAAGUUCCGACGUGCAUGAAUGGUGUCACGACUGCCCCGCUGUCUCCAAUAUACACUCAGUGAAAUUGAAUUCUCCGUGCAGAUGCGGAGUUCCCAAAGGUAGACGGUAAGACCCUAUGCACCUUUACUGCAAUGUAUCAUUGACACUGGCUUUACGUUGUGUAGGAUAGGUGGGAGCCUUGGCACCCUUGAAAUACCACCCUGCGUAUAGACAGUAUCUCACCCAUCUAUGGGAACCGUGAUACAUGGGUAGUUUGACUGGGGCGGUAGCUUCCCAAAGAGUAACGGAAGCGUGCAAAGGUAAGUUCACAUGGGACGGAAACCCAUGGUAGAGCGUAAUGGUAUAUACUUGCCUGACUGUAAGACCCACAGGUCGAGCAGAGACGAAAGUCGGCCAUAGUGACCCGGGAGUACCACGUGGAUGGGCUCUCGAGUAACGGAUCAAAGGUACGCUAGGGAUAACAGGCUAAUGACUCCCAAGAGCUCCUAUCGACGGAGUCGUUUGGCACCUCGAUGUCGACUCAUCGCAUCCUCGAGCUGAAGAAGGUUCGAAGGGUUCGGCUGUUCGCCGAUUAAAGCGGUACGUGAGUUGGGUUUAAUACGUCGUAAGACAGUAUGGAUCCUAUCUCCUUUGGGUGUUGAAAACUGCGGAAAGCAUAUCCUUGUACGAGAGGACCGGAUAUGACAAACCUAUGAUGGACCAGUUGUUUCGCCAGAAGCACCGCUGGGUAGUUACGUUUGGGGGUAACAACUGCUGAAAGCAUCUCAAGCAGGCAAUCCCUAUCCUAAACAUGUUUUCACAAUCGUAAAAGAUCAUUACGAAAUAGGUGGAACGUCUAAGCAUAGUAAUAUGUGCGCCUAUCCAUACUAAAUACAAUAUUCUAUUCU